AGAGUUUGAUCCUGGCUCAGGAUGAACGCCGGCGGUGUGCCUAAUACAUGCAAGUCGAACGCGUUGGCCCAACUGAUUGAACGUGCUUGCACGGACUUGACGUUGGUUUACCAGCGAGUGGCGGACGGGUGAGUAACACGUAGGUAACCUGCCCCAAAGCGGGGGAUAACAUUUGGAAACAGAUGCUAAUACCGCAUAACAAUUUGAAUCGCAUGAUUCAAAUUUAAAAGAUGGUUUCGGCUAUCACUUUGGGAUGGACCUGCGGCGCAUUAGCUUGUUGGUAGGGUAACGGCCUACCAAGGCUGUGAUGCGUAGCCGAGUUGAGAGACUGAUCGGCCACAAUGGAACUGAGACACGGUCCAUACUCCUACGGGAGGCAGCAGUAGGGAAUCUUCCACAAUGGGCGCAAGCCUGAUGGAGCAACACCGCGUGAGUGAAGAAGGGUUUCGGCUCGUAAAGCUCUGUUGUUAGAGAAGAACGUGCGUGAGAGCAACUGUUCACGCAGUGACGGUAUCUAACCAGAAAGUCACGGCUAACUACGUGCCAGCAGCCGCGGUAAUACGUA
RNAcentral lists this ribosomal RNA (565 nucleotides) under uncultured bacterium. RNAcentral's name for it is "bacterial SSU rRNA". It matches the Rfam family "Bacterial small subunit ribosomal RNA", at positions 8 to 529 of the family's 1533-position model. The record is from RNAcentral.